AGACCCCUUGAAGACGACGAGGUAGAUAGGUUGGAGGUGGAAGUGCAGCAAUGCAUGGAGCUGACCAAUACUAAUCGGUCGAGGGCUUAUCCAA
RNAcentral lists this ribosomal RNA (94 nucleotides) under Paenibacillus lautus. Its description in RNAcentral is "partial 23S ribosomal RNA". It matches the Rfam family "Bacterial large subunit ribosomal RNA", at positions 2831 to 2925 of the family's 2925-position model. Lineage: Bacteria; Bacillati; Bacillota; Bacilli; Caryophanales; Paenibacillaceae. RNAcentral also lists the same sequence under 4 other names. The record is from RNAcentral.